RNAcentral lists this ribosomal RNA (254 nucleotides) under uncultured bacterium. RNAcentral describes it as "partial 16S ribosomal RNA". It matches the Rfam family "Bacterial small subunit ribosomal RNA", at positions 334 to 604 of the family's 1533-position model. The record is from RNAcentral.
UGGUCCCUACGGGACGCAGCAGUGGGGAAUAUUGCACAAUGGGGGAAACCCUGAUGCAGCGACGCCGCGUGAGUGAAGAAGUAUUUCGGUAUGUAAAGCUCUAUCAGCAGGGAAGAAAAUGACGGUACCUGACUAAGAAGCCCCGGCUAACUACGUGCCAGCAGCCGCGGUAAUACGUAGGGGGCAAGCGUUAUCCGGAUUUACUGGGUGUAAAGGGAGCGUAGACGGCCAGACAAGUCAGAAGUGAAAGCCCA